RNAcentral lists this long non-coding RNA (761 nucleotides) under Salmo salar (Atlantic salmon). RNAcentral describes it as "lncRNA (ENSSSAG00000117599.1)". The record is from RNAcentral. Lineage: Eukaryota; Metazoa; Chordata; Actinopteri; Salmoniformes; Salmonidae.
GGAAUGGUGUUACCUCAGCCCUACAGGCCUCCAUUACCUCAGCCCUACAGGUCUCCAUUACCCCUACCCAUGGUGUUACCUCAGCCCUACAGGUCUCCAUUACCCAUGGUGUUACCUCAGCCCUACAGGUCUCCAUUACCUCAGCCCUACAGGUCUCCAUUACCUCUACCCAUGGUGUUACCUCAGCCCUACAGGUCUCCAUUACCCAUGGUGUUACCUCAGCCCUACAGGUCUCCAUUACCUCAGCCCUACAGGCCUCCAUUACCCCUACCCAUGGUGUUACCUCAGCCCUACAGGUCUCCAUUACCCAUGGUGUUACCUCAGCCCUACAGGUCUCCAUUACCUCAGCCCUACAGGUCUCCAUUACCUCAGCCCUACAGGCCUCCAUUACCCCUACCCAUGGUGUUACCUCAGCCCUACAGGUCUCCAUUACCCAUGGUGUUACCUCAGCCCUACAGGCCUCCAUUACCCCUACCCAUGGUGUUACCUCAGCCCUACAGGUCUCCAUUACCCAUGGUGUUACCUCAGCCCUACAGGUCUCCAUUACCUCAGCCCUACAGGUCUCCAUUACCUCAGCCCUACAGGUCUCCGUUACCUCAGCCCUACAGGUCUCCAUUACCUCAGCCCUACAGGUCUCCAUUACUUCAGCCCUACAGGUCUCCGUUACCUCAGCCCUACAGGUCUCCAUUACCCCUACCCAUGGUGUUACCUCAGCCCUACAGGUCUCCAUUACCCAUGGUGUUACCUCAGCCCUACAGGUC